RNAcentral lists this unclassified non-coding RNA (219 nucleotides) under uncultured fungus. RNAcentral's name for it is "sequence contains ITS1, 5.8S rRNA gene". The stretch from base 171 to 219 matches the Rfam family "5.8S ribosomal RNA", at positions 1 to 49 of the family's 154-position model. Lineage: Eukaryota; Fungi. The record is from RNAcentral.
UUUCCGUAGGUGAACCUGCGGAAGGAUCAUUAUCAAACAGCGGCCUUCGGGCCUUGCUGCACCCUUGUCUUUUGCGUACCGUAUGUUUCCUCGGCGGGCUUGCCUGCCGGUUGGACAUUAUCAAACCUUUUUGUAGUUGCAAUCAGCGUCAGAAAACAAAUAAUUAUUACAACUUUCAACAACGGAUCUCUUGGUUCUGGCAUCGAUGAAGAACGCAGC